This 1408-nucleotide ribosomal RNA is filed under the name Gelidium sp. RNAcentral's name for it is "SSU rRNA". It matches the Rfam family "Eukaryotic small subunit ribosomal RNA", at positions 117 to 1587 of the family's 1831-position model. Lineage: Eukaryota; Rhodophyta; Florideophyceae; Gelidiales; Gelidiaceae. The record is from RNAcentral.
UUCUUCGAUGGUAACUCUACUCGGAUAACCGUAGUAAUUCUAGAGCUAAUACGUGCCACAAGGCGACUUUUGUCGUGGUAUAAAUUGGAGAUACAAACCAAUAUUUGGUGAUUCACGAUUUCUUUUCUGAUCGCACUAUGUGCGACGCAUCGUUCAAAUUUCUGACCUAUCAACUUUGGAUGGUAAGGUAUUGUCUUACCAUGGUUGUGACGGGUAACGGACCGUGGGUGCGGGACUCCGGAGAGGGAGCCUGAGAAACGGCUACCACAUCCAAGGAAGGCAGCAGGCGCGCAAAUUACCCAAUCCGGACACCGGGAGGUAGUGACAAGAAAUAGCAAUAGAGGGCCCGAUGGGUUUUCUAAUUGGAAUGAGAACAAGGUAAACAGCUUAUCGAGGAGCCAGCAGAGGGCAAGUCUGGUGCCAGCAGCCGCGGUAAUUCCAGCUCUGUAAGCGUAUACCAAAGUUGUUGCAGUUAAAACGCUCGUAGUCGGAACUUGGCGGGCGACGCAGGGCGUCUUUGCGGACGGUUCUGUAUCGGCCGCCUUUGUGGAGGGGGGCUUAGCGGUGCUUUAUUGCCUUGCUAAGUCGCUGCCACCGUUUACUGUGAAAAAAUUGGAGUGUUCAAAGCAGGCGUUUGCCUUGUACACAUUAGCAUGGAAUAAUAGAAUAGGACCUGGUUCUGUUUUGUUGGUUUGUGAGAAUUAGGUAAUGAUUAAGAGGGACGGUUGGGGGCAUUUGUAUUCUGCCGUCAGAGGUGAAAUUCUUAGAUUGGCGGAAGACAAACAGCUGCGAAAGCGUCUGCCAAGGACGUUUUCAUUGAUCAAGAACGAAAGUAAGGGGAUCGAAGACGAUCAGAUACCGUCGUAGUCUUUACUAUAAACGAUGAGGACUGGGGAUCGGGCGGCGCUGCUUUAUGGCCCGCCCGGCACCCUUCGGGAAACCAAAGUGUUUGCUUUCUGGGGGGAGUAUGGUCGCAAGGCUGAAACUUAAAGGAAUUGACGGAAGGGCAUCACCGGGUGUGGAGCCUGCGGCUUAAUUUGACUCAACACGGGGAAACUUACCAGGUCCGGACAUAGUGAGGAUUGACAGAUUGAGAGCUCUUUCUUGAUUCUAUGGUUGGUGGUGCAUGGCCGUUCUUAGUUGGUGGAGUGAUCUGUCUGGUUAAUUCCGUUAACGAGCGAGACCUGGGCGUGCUAGCUAGGCGCCGUUACCUCUUUCGGUAGCGAGGCUUGCCUUCCUAGACGGACUGCGGGCGUCUAGUCCGCGGAAGCUCCAGGCAAUAACAGGUCUGAGAUGCCCUUAGAUGUUCUGGGCCGCACGCGUGCUACACUGAGCGGGUCAACGGGUGAGGAUAGGCGAGAGCCUUUCCUAAUCUCUAAAUCCGCUCGUGCUGGGGAUCGAGGCUUGC